GACGAACGCUGGCGGCGUGCUUAACACAUGCAAGUCGAACGCUGAAGCUUGGUGCUUGCACUGGGUGGAUGAGUGGCGAACGGGUGAGUAAUACGUGAGUAACCUGCCCUUGACUCUGGGAUAAGCCUGGGAAACUGGGUCUAAUACUGGAUAUGACAUGCCACUGCAUGGUGGUGUGUGGAAAGGGUUUUACUGGUUUUGGAUGGGCUCACGGCCUAUCAGCUUGUUGGUGGGGUAAUGGCCUACCAAGGCGACGACGGGUAGCCGGCCUGAGAGGGUGACCGGCCACACUGGGACUGAGACACGGCCCAGACUCCUACGGGAGGCAGCAGUGGGGAAUAUUGCACAAUGGGCGGAAGCCUGAUGCAGCGACGCCGCGUGAGGGAUGACGGCCUUCGGGUUGUAAACCUCCUUCAGCACGGAAGAAGCGAGAGUGACGGUACGUGCAGAAGAAGCGCCGGCUAACUACGUG
RNAcentral lists this ribosomal RNA (472 nucleotides) under uncultured bacterium. RNAcentral describes it as "partial 16S ribosomal RNA". It matches the Rfam family "Bacterial small subunit ribosomal RNA", at positions 28 to 507 of the family's 1533-position model. The record is from RNAcentral.